RNAcentral lists this ribosomal RNA (274 nucleotides) under uncultured bacterium. Its description in RNAcentral is "partial 16S ribosomal RNA". It matches the Rfam family "Bacterial small subunit ribosomal RNA", at positions 523 to 796 of the family's 1533-position model. The record is from RNAcentral.
AUACGGAGGGUGCAAGCGUUACUCGGAAUCACUGGGCGUAAAGCGCGCGCAGGCGGUCUUUUAAGUUGGAUGUGAAAGCCUACAGCUCAACUGUAGAACUGCAUCCAAAACUAUUAGACUAGAGUCUGGGAGGGGAAGAUGGAAUUAGUUGUGUAGGAGUAAAAUCCGUAGAGAUAACUAGGAAUACCAAAAGCGAAGGCGAUCUUCUGGAACAGUACUGACGCUGAGGCGCGAAAGCGUGGGGAGCAAACAGGAUUAGAAACCCGAGUAGUCC